Triticum aestivum (bread wheat) is the source of this 115-nucleotide non-coding RNA. NCBI's taxonomy places the organism in Eukaryota, Viridiplantae, Streptophyta, Magnoliopsida, Poales, Poaceae. The record is from Rfam.
GGCCUACUCCCCCCGUUCGGAAUUACUUGUCGCAGAAAUGGAUGUAUCUAGAUGUAUUUUAGUUCUAGAUACAUCCAUAUCCGAGUCAAGUAAUACCGAACGGAGGGAGUACAUG